RNAcentral lists this long non-coding RNA (766 nucleotides) under Ananas comosus (pineapple). RNAcentral's name for it is "long non-coding RNA (ACOM_LNC018640)". Lineage: Eukaryota; Viridiplantae; Streptophyta; Magnoliopsida; Poales; Bromeliaceae. The record is from RNAcentral.
ACUGAGAUUUCUAUGCUUUCCGUCGUUGUCUUUGAGCCCUUUCGAUCACUUCAAAUACUCUACAUUAAAUCUAACAGAGUUGAUUAUCGAGUCGAAAGCCUCGGCAUCAAAAACGACUUGAUAGCAUAGAUAUCAUCAUUCUUUUAAAAACACAUAAGCUGAAGUCUAUAUGAGUAGGUCUUGUGUGACAUUAGGAGUACGGAGGUUUCCGUGCUCCUAAGCCGUUUUCGAUGAUGAAGUUUUCGAAUUGACGAUCGGUUCCAUUAGAAUUUAUCUACUAUAUUUGAAAUAUCUAAAAAAUAAAUUUUGCGAUUUUUCGAUAUCAUUUAUCUAGCGAUCGAAAGGGAUUAGAAUCAAUAAUUUUUAAUGGUUGAUAUAUAUCGUUUGCAAAAUUAAUGGUAUAGAAGUAUUCAAAUCAAAUAAAAUUUUGAUAAAAAAUUUUUAUACUAUUCACUGCAAGAUCAAUAUUUUUGAUUGAAAAUUUUAGUACUAUAUAACUACAUGCACUUUUUGUGAGAUUUUUAUUUUCAGGUGUUGAUUUUGAACUCUUUCGAUCGCUAAGUAAAUAAUAUCAAAAAAUGACAAAAUUUAUUUUCUAGAUACUUCAAAUACGCUAGUUCAAGUCUAACGAAACCGAUUAUCGAUUCGGAAGCUUUAUUAUCGAAAACAGUUUAAUAGUACGAGACUUCCGUGCUCCUAAUAGUAUACCAGAUCUAUUAACUCUAUAUAUACCUUCUUCCCUUUCUUUUUUUUUUUUUUUUUUUUU